Molecule: long non-coding RNA, 774 nt
Filed under: Camelus dromedarius (Arabian camel)
Lineage: Eukaryota; Metazoa; Chordata; Mammalia; Artiodactyla; Camelidae
Description: lncRNA (ENSCDRG00005008799.1)
Source: RNAcentral
GGACCAGGCUCACUUGAAGUUCUGAGUUUGAGCAGUAAGGUGGAACAAAGAAACCAAUGGAAACAAAGAAACAAUCAUUGUGGCAAACUCCCCACCACAGAGAAGCUGCCCUGAGUGGAAGGGAGGGUGGGCAUGCCCAUUUGUUUCGUGUCUCCCAGUGCUCUUCGCUUUCUUAUUGCAGACCUGCAUGGUUACAACAAAAUGAUCUGCAAAACUGAAAAUAUUUACUCUCUGGCUUUUACAGAAAAGGCUGACCAGCCUCUGGUUCCCGUACCGGUCAACUGAUUGGAGUACCUUUCCAGUUUGGAAACAUCUGGGCAGGCCCAGAUUGAACAGGAUCCAGGGGGAAGUACCAAGCCUGUCCCAUCGGCCAUCCUGUGUGUCAUGUCCUGUGACCCAGUGGAUGCUCAGCAUCCUCCAGCUGAAGAAACAGAUUGCCUUAGGUACAUGAAAGGUGAGGACACCUACUAUCCCCAUGGAGCCCAGGUGGGGCUGGGAGUCUGCUGUUUGUACAGCCGGUGGGCUCGUGUUGCUUUGGGCAUCCCUGUGCCUGAAUUCCUGCAGUACACUCGGUGAGAACAGCAUCUCUGAGCCCGUCCUGGGUGACCUCACAGGUUCACCUAGUGGCCCAGGCUAGUGACGGGAACAUGUACCUUCCUGCAGCCAACCCCAGACGUCCACUGAUGCAUCAUAUACUGGCAAAAGUGAGUUCCUGUGCAUUGGUCUAACAGCAGAGACUCUGCCACAGGCCCAAGAGGUUGUGUGUGGGACAAG